This 470-nucleotide ribosomal RNA is filed under the name Peosidrilus biprostatus. Its description in RNAcentral is "partial 16S ribosomal RNA". It matches the Rfam family "Bacterial large subunit ribosomal RNA", at positions 1829 to 2585 of the family's 2925-position model. The record is from RNAcentral. Lineage: Eukaryota; Metazoa; Annelida; Clitellata; Tubificida; Naididae.
UUCCUAAAAGUAAUAUAUCUUAGGUAAGCCCUGCCCAGCGUAUUAAAUAAGCGGCCGCAGUAUAUUAACUGUGCAAAGGUAGCAUAAUAACUUGCCUACUAAUUAUAGGCUAGAAUGAAUGGGUUAACAUAAAUUAAACUUUCUCUUUUAGGUAAUUAAAAAUUAAUAUAAAAGUGAAGAAGCUUUUAUACCUAUGAAGGACAAGAAGACCCUAUAGAGCUUAAUCCUCUUUACUACAUGAUUUUGUAGUCAACAGAUUUGGUUGGGGCGACUGGGGAUAUAUAUAUCCACCCUUUAUAUCUAUGAUUUACACAUCUUAUAUAUGAUCCAAAUUAUGAUCAAAGAAAUAAGUUACCUUAGGGAUAACAGACUUAUUUUCUUUAAGAGUUCAAAUCUACAAGAAAGAUUGGCACCUCGAUGUUGGCUUAGGGUAUCUUUUUAGAGCAAAAACUAAUAAGAAGGUUGUCACC